RNAcentral lists this ribosomal RNA (848 nucleotides) under Acinetobacter indicus. Its description in RNAcentral is "bacterial SSU rRNA". It matches the Rfam family "Bacterial small subunit ribosomal RNA", at positions 157 to 996 of the family's 1533-position model. Lineage: Bacteria; Pseudomonadati; Pseudomonadota; Gammaproteobacteria; Moraxellales; Moraxellaceae. The record is from RNAcentral.
GGGAUGCUAAUACCGCAUACGUCCUACGGGAGAAAGCAGGGGAUCACUUGUGACCUUGCGCUAAUAGAUGAGCCUAAGUCGGAUUAGCUAGUUGGUGGGGUAAAGGCCUACCAAGGCGACGAUCUGUAGCGGGUCUGAGAGGAUGAUCCGCCACACUGGGACUGAGACACGGCCCAGACUCCUACGGGAGGCAGCAGUGGGGAAUAUUGGACAAUGGGGGGAACCCUGAUCCAGCCAUGCCGCGUGUGUGAAGAAGGCCUUAUGGUUGUAAAGCACUUUAAGCGAGGAGGAGGCUCUUUUGGUUAAUACCCAAGAUGAGUGGACGUUACUCGCAGAAUAAGCACCGGCUAACUCUGUGCCAGCAGCCGCGGUAAUACAGAGGGUGCAAGCGUUAAUCGGAUUUACUGGGCGUAAAGCGCGCGUAGGCGGCCAAUUAAGUCAAAUGUGAAAUCCCCGAGCUUAACUUGGGAAUUGCAUUCGAUACUGGUUGGCUAGAGUGUGGGAGAGGAUGGUAGAAUUCCAGGUGUAGCGGUGAAAUGCGUAGAGAUCUGGAGGAAUACCGAUGGCGAAGGCAGCCAUCUGGCCUAACACUGACGCUGAGGUGCGAAAGCAUGGGGAGCAAACAGGAUUAGAUACCCUGGUAGUCCAUGCCGUAAACGAUGUCUACUAGCCGUUGGGGCCUUUUGAGGCUUUAGUGGCGCAGCUAACGCGAUAAGUAGACCGCCUGGGGAGUACGGUCGCAAGACUAAAACUCAAAUGAAUUGACGGGGGCCCGCACAAGCGGUGGAGCAUGUGGUUUAAUUCGAUGCAACGCGAAGAACCUUACCUGGCCUUGACAUAGUAGAAAC